RNAcentral lists this ribosomal RNA (253 nucleotides) under uncultured bacterium. Its description in RNAcentral is "partial 16S ribosomal RNA". It matches the Rfam family "Bacterial small subunit ribosomal RNA", at positions 524 to 776 of the family's 1533-position model. The record is from RNAcentral.
UACGGAGGGUGCAAGCGUUAAUCGGAAUUACUGGGCGUAAAGCGUGCGUAGACGGUUAUUUAAGUCGGGUGUGAAAGCCCCGGGCUCAACCUGGGAAUUGCAUUCGAGACUGAAUAGCUAGGGUACGGUAGAGGGAAGCGGAAUUUCCGGUGUAGCGGUGAAAUGCGUAGAUAUCGGAAGGAACAUCAGUGGCGAAAGCGGCUUCCUGGACCAGUACCGACGUUCAGGCACGAAAGCGUGGGGAGCAAACAGG